AGGGGUACAGCUCAGUGGUAGGGUGCAUGCUUAGUAUGCACAAGGUCCUGGGUUCAAUUCCCAGUACUUCUG
This 72-nucleotide transfer RNA is filed under the name Camelus bactrianus (Bactrian camel). It matches the Rfam family "tRNA". From Rfam's summary of the family: Transfer RNA (tRNA) molecules are approximately 80 nucleotides in length. Their secondary structure includes four short double-helical elements and three loops (D, anti-codon, and T loops). Lineage: Eukaryota; Metazoa; Chordata; Mammalia; Artiodactyla; Camelidae. RNAcentral also lists the same sequence under 2 other names. The record is from Rfam by way of RNAcentral.